UGGGGGAUAUUGCACAAUGGGGGGAACCCUGAUGCAGCGACGCCGCGUGAAGGAGGAAGUGCUUCGGCAUGUAAACUUCUAUCAGCAGGGAAGAAGAUGACGGUACCUGACUAAGAAGCCCCGGCUAACUACGUGCCAGCAGCCGCGGUAAUACGUAGGGGGCAAGCGUUAUCCGGAUUUACUGGGUGUAAAGGGAGCGUAGACGGCAAUGCAAGUCUGAUGUGAAAACCCGGGGCUCAACCGCGGGAUUGCAUUGGAAACUGUAUAGCUCGAGUACUGGAGGGGCAGGCGGAAUUCCUGGUGUAGCGGUGAAAUGCGUAGAUAUCAGGAGGAACACCGGUGGCGAAGGCGGCCUGCUGGACAGAAACUGACGUUGAGGCUCGAAAGCGUGGGGAGCAAACAGG
This 404-nucleotide ribosomal RNA is filed under the name uncultured prokaryote. RNAcentral's name for it is "bacterial SSU rRNA". It matches the Rfam family "Bacterial small subunit ribosomal RNA", at positions 355 to 776 of the family's 1533-position model. The record is from RNAcentral. RNAcentral also lists the same sequence under 1 other name.